This 73-nucleotide transfer RNA is filed under the name Ixodes scapularis (black-legged tick). RNAcentral's name for it is "tRNA-Pro for anticodon GGG". It matches the Rfam family "tRNA". Rfam says of the family: Transfer RNA (tRNA) molecules are approximately 80 nucleotides in length. Their secondary structure includes four short double-helical elements and three loops (D, anti-codon, and T loops). Further hydrogen bonds mediate the characteristic L-shaped molecular structure. tRNAs have two regions of fundamental functional importance: the anti-codon, which is responsible for specific mRNA codon recognition, and the 3' end, to which the tRNAs corresponding amino acid is attached (by aminoacyl-tRNA synthetases). tRNAs cope with the degeneracy of the genetic code in two manners: having more than one tRNA (with a specific anti-codon) for a particular amino acid; and 'wobble' base-pairing, i.e. permitting non-standard base-pairing at the 3rd anti-codon position. Lineage: Eukaryota; Metazoa; Arthropoda; Arachnida; Ixodida; Ixodidae. The record is from RNAcentral.
UCCUGGGUAGCUCAGUUGGUAGAGCGCUUCACUGGGAAUGGAGCGGUUUCUGGUUCGACAACAGGAUCAGGCG